CAGAGCAUAGCUUAGCACAGUAAAGCACCUCCCUUACACCGAGAUAUCACCCGUGCAAACCGGGUUGCCCUGA
Molecule: transfer RNA, 73 nt
Filed under: Priacanthus tayenus (purple-spotted bigeye)
Lineage: Eukaryota; Metazoa; Chordata; Actinopteri; Priacanthiformes; Priacanthidae
Description: tRNA-Val
Rfam family: tRNA
About the family: Transfer RNA (tRNA) molecules are approximately 80 nucleotides in length.
Source: RNAcentral